UACAGUUGCCUUUUUUGUCUCUCCCU
RNAcentral lists this non-coding RNA (26 nucleotides) under Mus musculus (house mouse). The record is from RNAcentral. RNAcentral also lists the same sequence under 1 other name. Lineage: Eukaryota; Metazoa; Chordata; Mammalia; Rodentia; Muridae.